GAGCAUGUGGUUUAAUUCGAUGCAACGCGAAGAACCUUACCUGGUCUUGACAUCCACAGAACUUUCCAGAGAUGGAUUGGUGCCUUCGGGAACUGUGAGACAGGUGCUGCAUGGCUGUCGUCAGCUCGUGUUGUGAAAUGUUGGGUUAAGUCCCGCAACGAGCGCAACCCUUAUCCUUUGUUGCCAGCGGUCCGGCCGGGAACUCAAAGGAGACUGCCAGUGAUAAACUGGAGGAAGGUGGGGAUGACGUCAAGUCAUCAUGGCCCUUACGACCAGGGCUACACACGUGCUACAAUGGCAUAUACAAAGAGAAGCGACCUCGCGAGAGCAAGCGGACCUCAUAAAGUAUGUCGUAGUCCGGAUUGGAGUCUGCAACUCGACUCCAUGAAGUCGGAAUCGCUAGUAAUCGUAGAUCAGAAUGCUACGGUGAAUACGUUCCCGGGCCUUGUACACACCGCCCGUCACACCAUGGGAGUGGGUUGCAAAAGAAGUAGGUAGCUUAACCUUCGGGAGGGCGCUUACCACUUUGUGAUUCAUGACUGGGGUGAAGUCGUAACAAGGUAACCGUAGGGGAACCUGCGGUUGGAUCACCUCCUUA
RNAcentral lists this ribosomal RNA (598 nucleotides) under Klebsiella pneumoniae. RNAcentral describes it as "bacterial SSU rRNA". It matches the Rfam family "Bacterial small subunit ribosomal RNA", at positions 935 to 1533 of the family's 1533-position model. Lineage: Bacteria; Pseudomonadati; Pseudomonadota; Gammaproteobacteria; Enterobacterales; Enterobacteriaceae. The record is from RNAcentral.